This 253-nucleotide ribosomal RNA is filed under the name uncultured bacterium. RNAcentral's name for it is "partial 16S ribosomal RNA". It matches the Rfam family "Bacterial small subunit ribosomal RNA", at positions 524 to 776 of the family's 1533-position model. The record is from RNAcentral.
UACGUAGGGGGCUAGCGUUGUCCGGAUUUAUUGGGCGUAAAGAGCGUGUAGGCGGCUUGGUAGGUCCGCUGUGAAAACUCGAGGCUCAACCUCGAGAUGUCGGCGGAAACCACUUGGCUAGAGUCCGGAAGAGGAGAGUGGAAUUCCCGGUGUAGCGGUGAAAUGCGCAGAUAUCGGGAAGAACACCUAUGGCGAAGGCAGCUCUCUGGGACGGUACUGACGCUGAGACGCGAAAGCGUGGGGAGCGAACAGG